This is a long non-coding RNA of Mugil cephalus (flathead mullet), 316 nucleotides long. RefSeq lists it as uncharacterized. The transcript is spliced from 3 exons. Lineage: Eukaryota; Metazoa; Chordata; Actinopteri; Mugiliformes; Mugilidae. The record is from RefSeq and is a predicted model, not a curated record.
CUGAAAGUGGCAGAGAGGGAGAGAGAGCAAGAGGAUGAAUGCGAGGCUGUUUAAUGAUAUACAAACUCGUCUGUAUUUAGAUUUAUUUUUAUUUUUAUUCCUGAUGUCAUUAAAAGGACAUGCGAGGUUGAUUUCGACAGACUGAUAAGCAACACGGAAGAAAGAGGAAGGCUGGUUGGGAGCUUCAGCUUCCAGUGAAGCUGCAUUUCAAAAGCGUUUCACUCCAAUAAUGUCAAGACUAACAUGUCACGGUAGUGUGAGCUUCAUCUUUGGUGACGUAUUUCCACGCACUUGAUGAACCGCUGCUAGUUGUCUG